Molecule: long non-coding RNA, 382 nt
Filed under: Populus trichocarpa (black cottonwood)
Lineage: Eukaryota; Viridiplantae; Streptophyta; Magnoliopsida; Malpighiales; Salicaceae
Description: long non-coding RNA (PTRI_LNC001154)
Source: RNAcentral
GCUCAAUAAAUUUUCUGAGAGAAUAAGAAAAAUGGCUAGCUUGAGAUGUUAUCUGUGCGUACUGCUAAUAUUGCUGUCAUUUGCACAAUCCGAGGCCCGCCCCCUUGAUCCAUCUGUUGUACGAAGGAACCUGAUCAGGACAAUUCGAGCCCUGGGCGAGAGUGAAGCUGUCGGUGAUCAAUGUGCCAGUAAACGAGUGAGUCCAGGCGGGCCUGAUGCUAAACACCACUAAAAAGCCAGCAGUCGUUCUAUGAAAGUUAGGGGAAUUGGCUGGCUCAUAAAAUGGCUACUAUGGAUAAGAUUAAUAAGUAUGUUAUAGAAAUAAAGUGACCCUGCUUUUCUUCUGAUAUGGUGCACAUGCUUUUGAGAAAAUGUAUUCAGA